GAAAUCUACGUAGGGGUUUGGUCCUGGCCUUAUUAUUAGUUAUUAGUAAACUUACACAUGCAAGAAUCCCCAUUCCUGUGAGAACGCCCUCUAAACCAUCAAUGGUAAAAAGGAGCUGGUAUCAAGCACACUAAUAAGUAGCUCGUAACGCCUCGCUUAGCCACACCCCCACGGGAUACAGCAGUGAUAAAAAUUAAGCAAUAAACGAAAGUCUGACUAAGUUAUACUAUUUAGGACUGGUAAAUCUCGUGCCAGCCACCGCGGUCUUACGAUUAGGCCAAACUAAUAAACAACCGGCGUAAAGCGUGUUUUAGAGUAUAAAUAAUAAAUAAAAUCAAAUCUUAACUAAGCUGUAAAAAGCCUUAGCUAAUGUAAGAUACAUAACGAAAGUAAUUUUAAAAAAUCUGAUUACACGAUAGCUAAGACCCAAACUGGGAUUAGAUACCCCACUAUGCUUAGCCCUAAACAUAAAAAAUUAUUAAACAAAAUUAUUCGCCAGAGUACUACUAGCAAUAGCUUAAAACUCAAAGGACUUGGCGGUGCCUUACAUCCCUCUAGAGGAGCCUGUUCUAUAAUCGAUAAACCCCGAUAUACCUCACCAAUCUUUGCUAAUCAGCCUAUUACCGCCUCUUCAGCAAACCCUAAAAGGAGUCUGAGU
This 658-nucleotide ribosomal RNA is filed under the name Myotis altarium. RNAcentral's name for it is "partial 12S ribosomal RNA". It matches the Rfam family "Bacterial small subunit ribosomal RNA", at positions 9 to 1034 of the family's 1533-position model. The record is from RNAcentral. Lineage: Eukaryota; Metazoa; Chordata; Mammalia; Chiroptera; Vespertilionidae.